This is a long non-coding RNA of Trematomus bernacchii (emerald rockcod), 353 nucleotides long. RefSeq lists it as uncharacterized. The transcript has 3 exons. NCBI's taxonomy places the organism in Eukaryota, Metazoa, Chordata, Actinopteri, Perciformes, Nototheniidae. The record is from RefSeq and is a predicted model, not a curated record.
CCUUGGAAAGCAUAUUCUCCUCUUUUGGCUCUUGUGAGCAUAUCACCACCAGGGGGCACCCUAUAAAAGGGCAGAGGUUUCUAGCUGGCUGUCUCUUGUUUGUUGGUACACAGACCCGCCCCACUUGCGUGUUUGCCGUGUUUGCUUCCGCCACCGGUGCAGUGGUGGAUCCUCCGGGUGCAGCCUGUCAACGCAGCCAUAGAAAGCAUGAAGCUCUCUCCUCUCUGCGUCAUCGAUAGGAAAGCCUGAUCGGGCCAAUCCAAUGAUUAAGGGACAUCUGCUGUUUUGCUUCACCGGAGAAAGUGUAUUUAUCGGCACAACUGCUGUUGAUCCUGCCUAAAUGUUUGGGCUAC